This 253-nucleotide ribosomal RNA is filed under the name uncultured bacterium. Its description in RNAcentral is "partial 16S ribosomal RNA". It matches the Rfam family "Bacterial small subunit ribosomal RNA", at positions 524 to 776 of the family's 1533-position model. The record is from RNAcentral.
UACGUAGGGGGCAAGCGUUGUCCGGAAUCAUUGGGCGUAAAGCGCGUGUAGGCGGCUCGAUAAGUCUGCUGUGAAAGUCCAGGGCUCAACCGAGGAAUUGCCUUGGAUACUGCGGGGCUCGAGGCUGGAAGAGGGCAGUGGAAUUCCCGGUGUAGCGGUGAAAUGCGCAGAUAUCAGGAGGAACACCAAUGGCGAAGGCAGCUCGCUGGAACGGUACUGACGCUGAGGCGCGAAAGCGUGGGGAGCGAACAGG